This 1169-nucleotide ribosomal RNA is filed under the name Levilactobacillus brevis. RNAcentral describes it as "bacterial SSU rRNA". It matches the Rfam family "Bacterial small subunit ribosomal RNA", at positions 1 to 1176 of the family's 1533-position model. Lineage: Bacteria; Bacillati; Bacillota; Bacilli; Lactobacillales; Lactobacillaceae. The record is from RNAcentral.
UUUUUUUUCGUCUCCUAUACUGCAGUCGACGAGCUUCCGUUGAAUGACGUGCUUGCACUGAUUUCAACAAUGAAGCGAGUGGCGAACUGGUGAGUAACACGUGGGAAAUCUGCCCAGAAGCAGGGGAUAACACUUGGAAACAGGUGCUAAUACCGUAUAACAACAAAAUCCGCAUGGAUUUUGUUUGAAAGGUGGCUUCGGCUAUCACUUCUGGAUGAUCCCGCGGCGUAUUAGUUAGUUGGUGAGGUAAAGGCCCACCAAGACGAUGAUACGUAGCCGACCUGAGAGGGUAAUCGGCCACAUUGGGACUGAGACACGGCCCAAACUCCUACGGGAGGCAGCAGUAGGGAAUCUUCCACAAUGGACGAAAGUCUGAUGGAGCAAUGCCGCGUGAGUGAAGAAGGGUUUCGGCUCGUAAAACUCUGUUGUUAAAGAAGAACACCUUUGAGAGUAACUGUUCAAGGGUUGACGGUAUUUAACCAGAAAGCCACGGCUAACUACGUGCCAGCAGCCGCGGUAAUACGUAGGUGGCAAGCGUUGUCCGGAUUUAUUGGGCGUAAAGCGAGCGCAGGCGGUUUUUUAAGUCUGAUGUGAAAGCCUUCGGCUUAACCGGAGAAGUGCAUCGGAAACUGGGAGACUUGAGUGCAGAAGAGGACAGUGGAACUCCAUGUGUAGCGGUGGAAUGCGUAGAUAUAUGGAAGAACACCAGUGGCGAAGGCGGCUGUCUAGUCUGUAACUGACGCUGAGGCUCGAAAGCAUGGGUAGCGAACAGGAUUAGAUACCCUGGUAGUCCAUGCCGUAAACGAUGAGUGCUAAGUGUUGGAGGGUUUCCGCCCUUCAGUGCUGCAGCUAACGCAUUAAGCACUCCGCCUGGGGAGUACGACCGCAAGGUUGAAACUCAAAGGAAUUGACGGGGGCCCGCACAAGCGGUGGAGCAUGUGGUUUAAUUCGAAGCUACGCGAAGAACCUUACCAGGUCUUGACAUCUUCUGCCAAUCUUAGAGAUAGACGUUCCCUUUCGGGACAAGAAUGACCAGGUGGUGCAUGCUGUCGUCAGCCUCGUGUCGUGAGAUGUGGGAUAGUUCCGCACGAGCCAACCCUUAUAUCAGUGCCAGCAUUCAGUGGCACUUCUGGGUGAGAGACUGCCCGGUGACAACCCGAGGAAGUGGA